AUAUUUACCUGGCAGCGGAGAUACCCUGAUCACUAAGGUGGUUCUCCAGAUUGAGGCUCAUCCAUUGCAAUCCAGAUGUGCUGAACCUUGUGAAUUCCCCAGAUGCAUAAUUUGUGGUAGUGGAGGACUGCAUUCAUACUCUCCCCUG
Molecule: small nuclear RNA, 148 nt
Filed under: Erpetoichthys calabaricus (reedfish)
Lineage: Eukaryota; Metazoa; Chordata; Cladistia; Polypteriformes; Polypteridae
Description: U1 spliceosomal RNA (ENSECRG00000000290.1)
Rfam family: U1 spliceosomal RNA
About the family: U1 is a small nuclear RNA (snRNA) component of the spliceosome (involved in pre-mRNA splicing). Its 5' end forms complementary base pairs with the 5' splice junction, thus defining the 5' donor site of an intron.
Source: Rfam by way of RNAcentral